CAAAACUAUCAAUAUGGUUAUUUUUUAUGAAUUUUUCCAAGAUCAAUUUUAACCAUUUAGGAACUUCUCGAGUAUAAACCAUAAAAUGGUUGAAUAAUUUGACGUCUUUUCAUCGCCAUUUUGGAAGCGACCAAUGGUGCAGCCGAACGCGUUUGUAAAUAUCUAUUUUUCCCCGUAACUCAAUCAAGUUAUCGAGUUUAUCAUAUCGAAUCCGUAGGAAAUCAUGAAAAGGCACCGGAUGGACAUAGCUCCAGGUCCAAUUCAAAAACUAAUUGUAUCGAAACAACCAGCUUGCGAGGAUGCAUUAACGUUACCUGGCCACAACAGCAGCAGACGCAAGAAAAAAAAACAUCAAUAGCUCUACGUGAAAGAUUUUAUGUACCUUACGAAAUCGUGGACUGGAAGAUACAUUAUUUAUGAAAAGAAUGCGUCAGUAGCGCCAGAUGAUUUCAACCGCAACAAACUAAUUAUCUACUGGAACCUUGAAUGACACCAUCAAAACGCUCCAACUAAUCCUCCGUUAGUGCAAUCUAAUAGUUCAGAUCAUCCGACCCUUCCUCCGGCAGCAGCACCAAAGUACACGAGAUCUCCACUUCCGUCACGGCAGAACUUCUGCUACCGCUGGUUGUAAGGCUGUGUUGAGCCUGAGUUUUCUGCUCCCGUUUAAAUAUUUAUUUAUUUUAUAUUUCGGUAAAAAUGUCAUUUAAUUAAAGUGGAAAAAGUAUUAUUUAUAAGAAAUAAAGAAACAAAUACAAAAAACCGUGUUUUUCCUAAUUCCGUACCCUGGGUUCCCAUGGGUCACGGCGGCGGUGUGCAUGCUUGUGAUAAUGAUGGUUUACUAUCAUUGUCCUGAGAGGGUCGUUGCACACAUCUUGUCAAGCAUGGAUCAUAAUAUGACUCAAAUUAGAAGGCGCGAUGGACACCUUUAUUUUCAUUAAAUUAGCGGUAGGUUCAGUGGUGUCCCAAUUUUUCAUGAUCCAUGUUGAUAAGAUGAAUGGGAGUUGAAACACUUGCCCUCCCUUCCGUUGAACAAUGGGAAAAUUUUGCAGUGAAAAUAUCACAAUUUGUUGUCAUAAAGUGAUACUUUUCAAUAGGGCAUAAUCUGUUUGGUAAGGUAGUUAGCUAGUUUAGUUUCAUAGCAUUAGGAUGUUUCAAGUAUUGCUAGGUUAGGUAUAGGUAAUGGUAUUCGCCUCCCCAAUGCUCUAGAAAGUGUGCAUUUGCGGUUUAUGAAUUUCGUUGGCUUAUUCUUAAAUCAAGCAUUUUACAAGAGCUAGAGGCUCAUUGGACGGGAAUGCUGUUUUGACAAAUAUGAUAUUUCACUUUGUAAUACACUUUCGACAUUUGUUUUUAUUUAUUUAUUUACUUUUGGUAGAUUUAUACAUUUUUCGGUUAGGAUUGAAAUUCAUAAAUCGAAGUUUAAAAUAGAAAAUAUGAUUUCGAUAAGCAAGAAUGAGUAGAUAGUUCGGAUCAUUCAUUUCGGGCAUUUAAAAACAGGCACAAGGUUUAUUAGAAUUGAACCCCUAUCGUGUAGAUUGGGUAUUAUAGUUUGUUAGAGAAGUUGUCCACAAUUAGUG
Long non-coding RNA from Uranotaenia lowii, 1574 nucleotides. RefSeq lists it as uncharacterized. NCBI's taxonomy places the organism in Eukaryota, Metazoa, Arthropoda, Insecta, Diptera, Culicidae. The transcript has 3 exons. The record is from RefSeq and is a predicted model, not a curated record.